AAAUUCAUUCAUAUGUUAAUAUGGUAUCAUGGAGCCAGUCUUGCUUACACUGUGAUUCUUGACAUGAAUUUCCGUUGCUUCGCUUCAUAUCAGAUUCUUGUGAUUGUAUAGAAUGAAGGCUGAUGCCAUAAAGAUUGUCUAUGACUGUUGAAUUGUUUGUUCUCUGUUCAAUGUGGUCUUCGAGAAGGCCGAUGCCAAUUCAAACACUUUUUUGAUGAAUUAAGAUCUGGUGGUGGUCAAGUUGUUCAAGAAUGUCAAAUUUGUGGAAAGAGGGGACACAUUGCUAUUGAUUGCAGAUAUAUGGGUAAUUAUGCCUAUCAAAGAGCUCCUCACCCUCCUUCUAUCACUGUUCACUAUGCCUUUCAGGACCUCUCUUCUCAAUUUCAGCAUCCAAAUUCCUUUGCCAAUGUCAUGUUAUCGGUGGUUUUGGUCUUAAAGGAGUGUCUCCAUUUCCUAUAUAGUUGUAUUCUGGUUUUCAACCUGCACCUUCUGUGUUCAAUCAAGCUACUUCUUCAAUUUGUUCUCAAGACAUUUCUGCUGAUCAAGGGAAUUUUGUGCCUUCUUCUAUGCAAGCAUUAACUAAUCAAACCUCUUAUGAGGGUGAGUCUUGGAUUAUUGACAUUGGGGCUUCUCACCAUAUGAGCCCUAACAUCACUCUCUAAAAAUCAACAGUUCCAUACACUGGUGAUAAGAAGAUUAUAGUCGAAAAUGGUGAAGAAUUGAAUGUUCAACAUGUUGGCACUAGAACUAUCAAGACUCUUUCUCACACUCUUCAUCUUAAAAAUACAUUACAUGUUCCUAUAUUAACUGUAAAUCUUCUUUCUGUGAAAAAACUGUGCAAGGUUAAUAACAGUUGGUUUAUAUGUGAUGACAUACAAUUUUUUGUGCAAGACAAGGCAACAUAGGUGGUUCUGUACAACGGAAAGAGUAGCAACAAUGAAUUGUUUAGGAUUCUUAUGCAUGUGUUUCCUUCUUUGCUUACUUCACGUGUACUUUCUUCUUCUGCAUUAUUAGGCAAAGUUGUUAAGCCUUCUCUCUGGCAUCACAAAUUUGGGCACCCUUCAAAUGAAAUUUUGGAAGCACUGUUGAAAGACUUUAGUGUGUCAAGUUCUAGUGAUGUAAUUACUCAUGCUUGUUCUCAUUGUAUUACUGGAAAAAUGAGAAGGCUAGCCUUUUCUGAAAAGUUAGAUAGAGUUGAUAUACCAUUUUAUGAGGUCCAUACUGAUGUUUGUGGUCUUUCUCUAGUUGUAGCAAUUGAUGGAUUUAGAUACUAUGUGUCAUAUGUAGAUGAGGCCACAAGAUUUGUAUGGAUUUACCCUUUAAUAAAUAAAUCAGAAGUUUUUGGUGUA
This is an RNA transcript of Pyrus x bretschneideri (Chinese white pear), 1349 nucleotides long. RefSeq lists it as uncharacterized. The record is from RefSeq and is a predicted model, not a curated record. Lineage: Eukaryota; Viridiplantae; Streptophyta; Magnoliopsida; Rosales; Rosaceae. The transcript has 3 exons.